GUAGGGUGCGAGCGUUAAUCGGAAUUACUGGGCGUAAAGCGUGCGCAGGCGGUGAUGUAAGACAGGUGUGAAAUCCCCGGGCUUAACCUGGGAACUGCAUUUGUGACUGCAUUGCUGGAGUGCGGCAGAGGGGGAUGGAAUUCCGCGUGUAGCAGUGAAAUGCGUAGAUAUGCGGAGGAACACCGAUGGCGAAGGCAAUCCCCUGGGCCUGCACUGACGCUCAUGCACGAAAGCGUGGGGAGCAAACAGGAUUAGAUACCCUGGUAGUCCACGCCCUAAACGAUGUCAACUGGUUGUUGGUUCUUCACUGGAUCAGUAACGAAGCUAACGCGUGAAGUUGACCGCCUGGGGAGUACGGCCGCAAGGUUG
RNAcentral lists this ribosomal RNA (369 nucleotides) under uncultured bacterium. Its description in RNAcentral is "bacterial SSU rRNA". It matches the Rfam family "Bacterial small subunit ribosomal RNA", at positions 527 to 896 of the family's 1533-position model. The record is from RNAcentral.